AAAGGUGGCCAAGGUAAAUGCAGAUGAACCGCUUCUAAUAGUCCAUUGACUUGGACAAUACCUUUAUGAUG
Molecule: ribosomal RNA, 71 nt
Filed under: Rhizoctonia solani
Lineage: Eukaryota; Fungi; Basidiomycota; Agaricomycetes; Cantharellales; Ceratobasidiaceae
Description: partial 28S ribosomal RNA
Source: RNAcentral